This 374-nucleotide long non-coding RNA is filed under the name Neogobius melanostomus (round goby). RNAcentral describes it as "lncRNA (ENSNMLG00000012028.1)". Lineage: Eukaryota; Metazoa; Chordata; Actinopteri; Gobiiformes; Gobiidae. The record is from RNAcentral.
CCACAGAGUCGGGUCUCUCACCAAAACACCAAGUGGCUCUGAGCACGAGGACCUCAGUCGCCAUGGAGACCGACAAGCUGUGAGUCACCAGAAUCACCAGAACCUGAUCCGGAGGGGGUCCAAGGGCAGCGGGACGGAACACUUGGUCCGGAGGGGGUCGUACAACAAUUACAGGAGAGACUCGAGGGACCGUUUGAGCCGGAACGACUUGGACCCGUAUGGGGAUGGCUUGUAUAGUCGUGAAGAGGAUCAGGAGAGCCUCGUCUCCAGAGACAGGCAUCACCUGGAUGAGCCGCCAAUGUAUAGAGACCGAUACAACGGACAAUACAGAGAGCGGCACUAUGACAACGGAUACAGAGACGGUCACCCUGGAG